UUGAAGUGUGGCACCAAAAUUGAAAGGAGAAAGAGGCACCAAAUUUCACUCAUGUCCGUGUGAAGAAACCACCAGGCUUUGUGUGAGCAGUAAAGCUU
This 98-nucleotide long non-coding RNA is filed under the name Pongo abelii (Sumatran orangutan). RNAcentral's name for it is "lincRNA". The record is from RNAcentral. Lineage: Eukaryota; Metazoa; Chordata; Mammalia; Primates; Hominidae.